RNAcentral lists this ribosomal RNA (467 nucleotides) under uncultured bacterium. Its description in RNAcentral is "bacterial SSU rRNA". It matches the Rfam family "Bacterial small subunit ribosomal RNA", at positions 28 to 477 of the family's 1533-position model. The record is from RNAcentral.
GACGAACGCUGGCGGCGUGCCUAAUACAUGCAAGUAGAACGCUGAAGACUUUAGCUUGCUAAAGUUGGAAGAGUUGCGAACGGGUGAGUAACGCGUAGGUAACCUGCCUACUAGCGGGGGAUAACUAUUGGAAACGAUAGCUAAUACCGCAUAACAGCAUUUAACCCAUGUUAGAUGCUUGAAAGGAGCAAUUGCUUCACUAGUAGAUGGACCUGCGUUGUAUUAGCUAGUUGGUGAGGUAACGGCUCACCAAGGCGACGAUACAUAGCCGACCUGAGAGGGUGAUCGGCCACACUGGGACUGAGACACGGCCCAGACUCCUACGGGAGGCAGCAGUAGGGAAUCUUCGGCAAUGGGGGCAACCCUGACCGAGCAACGCCGCGUGAGUGAAGAAGGUUUUCGGAUCGUAAAGCUCUGUUGUAAGAGAAGAACGUGUGCGAGAGUGGAAAGUUCACACAGUGACGGUA